UACGUAGGGGCCAAGCGUUGUCCGGAUUUAUUGGGCGUAAAGAGCUCGUAGGCGGUUGGGUAAGUCGGGUGUGAAAACUCCAGGCUCAACUUGGAGAUGCCACCCGAUACUGCUCUGACUUGAGUUCGGUAGGGGAGUGGGGAAUUCCUGGUGUAGCGGUGAAAUGCGCAGAUAUCAGGAGGAACACCGGUGGCGAAGGCGCCACUCUGGGCCGAAACUGACGCUGAGGAGCGAAAGCGUGGGGAGCGAACAGG
RNAcentral lists this ribosomal RNA (254 nucleotides) under uncultured bacterium. RNAcentral's name for it is "partial 16S ribosomal RNA". It matches the Rfam family "Bacterial small subunit ribosomal RNA", at positions 524 to 776 of the family's 1533-position model. The record is from RNAcentral.